RNAcentral lists this transfer RNA (53 nucleotides) under Pomphorhynchus laevis. Its description in RNAcentral is "tRNA-Lys". The record is from RNAcentral. Lineage: Eukaryota; Metazoa; Acanthocephala; Palaeacanthocephala; Echinorhynchida; Pomphorhynchidae.
GGUCGUAGAGCUGGUUAGCACUAGUUUUUUGCGCUGGGGGGUAGAAAUGGCCA